CCUACGGGAGGCAGCAGUGGGGAAUAUUGCACAAUGGGGGAAACCCUGAUGCAGCGACGCCGCGUGAGUGAAGAAGUAUUUCGGUAUGUUAAGCUCUAUCUGCAGGGAAGCAAAUGACGGUACCUGAUUAAGAAGCCCCGGCUAACUACGUGCCAGCACCCGCGGUAAUACGUAGGGGGCAAGCGUUAUCCGGAUUUACUGGGUGUAAAGGGAGCGUAGACGGCAGCACAAGUCUGGAGUGAAAUGCCUGGGCUUAACCCCGGAACUGCAUUGGCAACUGUGCGGCUAGAGUGCAGGAGAGGUAAGUGGAAUUCGUAGUGUAGCGGUGAAAUGCGUAGAUAUUAGGAGGAACACCAGUGGCGAAGGCGGCUUACUGGACUGGAACUGACGUUGAGGCACGAAAGCGUGGGGAGCGAACAGGAUUAGAUACCCUAGUAGUC
This 440-nucleotide ribosomal RNA is filed under the name uncultured bacterium. Its description in RNAcentral is "partial 16S ribosomal RNA". It matches the Rfam family "Bacterial small subunit ribosomal RNA", at positions 338 to 795 of the family's 1533-position model. The record is from RNAcentral.